GUUGGGACUCACAUGGUCGGCAGUGCGAAGAAGGGGAAACGGAAACGAUUCUACGACUAUUCUCACCGCACGUAUAUGUCAACAGAUGAGGCUACGGAAGCGGAGCAAUUGCCAGAGAAGCACAACGUCACGAUUGGAAUAUUGACAGAAGGAUGUCGAUUUGAGUUUAUAAACUUUAGCCAAUCAACCCAAUUUCGAUUUGAAGGAAACAAAACAGAGUUUACAUCACAUAUAAAAGCAAAUAAACAAUUCCCGCGUGUCAUUCUAGAUUAUCGUCACUCAAGUGAAUUCCGAUGACGCGGUACCGAACAAUUGAAAUCAAAUUAAAUUAUAGGAAUUACAAAAGUUUCCGAUAAGAUAAAUUCGAAUUUUAUUUACGAGGUUCAAAUUAAGACCUUUAUAUUAUGAUUAAUAUGCUGCGUUAACAAUAAUAUAUCUAAAGUUACAAUAUUGUUCAAUAAAUACUUAUUAAACUAUUAAUUACUACAUUUAUUUUUAAGUAUAUGCAAAUGUAACAGAUAUUCGAAUUAAUACAGUAAUAAUUAGCAUAAAAAGAUAUCUUUGUAUUUUAAGAUCAAAGGCCUUCAGAUUGUAUUAAAUAAUAUUAUUAUUUCCUAAUAACUCAAAGUAAGAGCUUAACAUAAAAAGCAUCUAAAUCCGUGUUGAUUAUUUCGAGCAAAUAUCUUAUUAAAAAAAGAUAACGUAAAGAUAUAAAUUUUAAGGGGAUAAAAGUAAGAGGAUAAAAAUUAAAUAUCAUAUUUAUAAAAAAAUAGAUAAAAAGUAAAUAUAAACAUGUGUUUAUAAUGUACAAAUGCACAUACGCAAUAUAUGUACAGUGACGUAGCAAGGGGGGGGAGGUGAAAUUUUCCCCGAGAGACAGGUUUUAGGGGGUAUCAAAAUUCUCGAUUAUUUUCGUGAAAGAUCCUUUAGAAGAUGCUAAAAAAUUAAAUCAAAAUUAACUUUUAAGCGUAAUAAUUUGGAUUAAUUAUUAUAAUUGUGUGCACGUGACACUUAUGACACAGAAAUUAUACACAUAAGAAAUUCAUUUUUGUUAAAUCUCUUGGUAAAUCUUUAUUAAAUCAUCGUGAGAAUCUGUAUUAAAUCAUUCAUCGAUGCGAUAAAUCUUUACAAAGUGUUAAAUUGACGCAAAGCGACGUAUUAAAAGUAACAAAUGCAUUGAAAAAUGGAAUUUUAUCAAUUCAUAAUUGUGGAAUUGAGCCAAUAAAAGACAUAGCAUUUAUAUGUGUACGUUACAAUAUUGAUUCUAAUUAAAUUCAUAGAAGUCUGUUUGAGAAAGAAAAAAACAUAUACUUAGUGAUGAAUCGGCUACUUAUGAAGCUUUAGAUAGAAAAAAUAAAGUUUAACAAGAAAUGAAUUUGGCAUGUUAUAGAUUUUUGAUAGAACUGCACAAUUGUUUUCUUGCGACCACAGACAUAAUGCAUACUUCAAUAUUGUAAGCGAUAAAAUUUUAACAAUGACGGAUGAUGACAUCAAUCAGAAAUCAAUUACUCUUGUUAAAGAAGUUCACAAAGAUUUCGACACAGAAGAAUUAACAGGCAAAUUACUAUCUUAUACGUUAUGCCAGAAAUUAUAGAAAAUCUUAAUAGCUUAAGUAAGAAUGAUAAUAAAACGUCAAAGUACAAUAAUUAAAAUUAAAAAAAAAAUUUUUUUAAUUGAAUUUACAAAAUGUAUACCCUAAUUUAAGCAAUGCGUACAGACGUUUUUAAAUUUUCUCGUAACUGUAGUAAAUUGUGAAAAAAGUUUUAGGAAAUUAAAAAUAAUUAAAAGUUUCUUACAAUCGACAAUGUCACAAAAGCAAUUAACAAACUUGGCUAUUUUAAGUAUAGAAUGUAAUAUAGCUUGUUCAUGAUUAAUAAAUUAUGACAGAAUAAUUAACACAUUUGCAGAAAGAAAAUGUCGUAAAAUUUAUUUUUAAACGUGCACGGUAAUUUUCAAACAAAAAAAUAUUUACUAUAAAAUAAAAUUCAGUAUUUAUGCGUUUGUUUGCUAUCCAAAGGCGGCAUUUUUAAAAAUUUCCGAGC
Molecule: long non-coding RNA, 2042 nt
Filed under: Monomorium pharaonis (pharaoh ant)
Lineage: Eukaryota; Metazoa; Arthropoda; Insecta; Hymenoptera; Formicidae
Description: uncharacterized LOC114255321
Source: RNAcentral